AUGGCCGGGGCGGGGUUCGCGCUCGCGCGGUCAAAGCCUCCACUCGACCAUCUCCUUCCUCCUUGCUUGGUCGCCAUGGCCACCAUCCUCACAAGAUCCAGCCCGUCUCCUCCACGUCCGCCGAGUGGACGUUCCGGCGGACCCGGUCGGCGCCGUCGCUCGCCGCCGAGUUCGCGGGUGGCCCGCUCAAGCGCUGGUGGGACUGGGGCCACGGCUGGCUGCGGCUUCGCCGGCGACCUGAAGAUGAUCGAGGAGGAGGCGGUCGCGCUCGGUCGGGGCACCUGGGCCCACUUCCUCUACAAGGUGUGCUCCGGGGUCCGCCGCCUCGUCGCGUCCGACCACCCGCUGCCCACCACGCAGUGCCUCAGGGGCGCCUCGCUGCCCCCGUUCCGGCGUUCCGGCGGACGGGCGGUGGUGCCGAGCAGGCCGACGCGGCGGGACGAGCUGAAGGGCGCGCGGGACAAGAAGCAAGGGCGCGGGACGAGCUGCAGGGGCGGGGUGCGCGGGUCGAGCUGCAGGCGCGCGCGGCGGCCGUGUGAGUUGCCGCCGAGCUCGCGCAGCUCCGGGUCGCCUCCAAGCUCGCGUUGCCGCCGCUGCAGUCCACCUUUGGGUUGUCUCCAAGCUCGCGCCGACAGGGAGGGAGGGGAGCACGCUGGACGGCGGCGAGCGGCGUCUUGGUGA
RNAcentral lists this ribosomal RNA (681 nucleotides) under Triticum aestivum (bread wheat). RNAcentral describes it as "partial small subunit ribosomal RNA". Lineage: Eukaryota; Viridiplantae; Streptophyta; Magnoliopsida; Poales; Poaceae. The record is from RNAcentral.